This is an RNA transcript of Wasmannia auropunctata (little fire ant), 843 nucleotides long. It is a transcript of the gene named B-cell CLL/lymphoma 7 protein family member A-like, with no coding region annotated. The transcript is spliced from 6 exons. The record is from RefSeq and is a predicted model, not a curated record. Lineage: Eukaryota; Metazoa; Arthropoda; Insecta; Hymenoptera; Formicidae.
AACCUGCGGGUCGCGGGAUAUGAGUUGCGGGUGGUAGAGGUUCUUGUUCUCUCUCUGCCUGUCACUUUCCUAACCUCUUCGCGGCACUCACGGAUGUCCCGGUGUCUCUGGUGCCGCGUAACUGGUGCAAUAAUCGAUUACCGGUGAUUAAAUUCGCGCGUGAACAAUAACAUGAUGUCGCGGUCGGUGCGCGCGGAGACUCGUAGUCGCGCCAAGGACGACAUUAAACGUGUGAUGCAAGUGGUUGAUAAAGUUCGCCAUUGGGAGAAAAAAUGGGUCACAAUAGGAGAAACGACUAUGAAAAUAUAUAAAUGGGUUCCGAUAUCGACACUAGAUCAGAAGAAAAAAGGGAAGACUGGUUCCGACAAGGAGAACGGUUUGCCGAGGAAAGGAGGAAUAGAUUCGUCAAAUUCUAAUUUCGGACUUACAGAAGACUCCAAUACGUGUUUCUCCACCGUUAGCGAUUCCCAAGGGCUGACAGAUUUCUCUGCACACUUGGGCUUUUCGGAGGACUCCAAUUCGCAAAACAGCGAACCCGCCCCCAAGAGAUUAAAGACUGACUAAUGUUCGACCCGCAAUCAGCAUCACCGCCAACGUCGUGUAGAGGAUACGAGAAUUGUAAAAGUGACUUUGUGAGCGUUGAAAAAGUCUCGAUAAUGAAGCGGAUUGUACAUUCGUGGCGAUUGUGUAGUAACAUUGCAGUAUUACUUUCUUUUGAAACUAUAUUUUUCUCGCUAUAACGAUAUAUUGUUGCACCAAGGGACGGCAGUAUUUUACCGUCGUACUGCACGAAACAACCGGUUUGUUCUUCCGUCAAUGAGUUCAAAGUGUCCAGAAUACGGC